GCGCUCAUAGUUUAAUGGAUAGAACAAGGGCCUUCUAAGCCCUCGAUGGAGGUUCGAUUCCUCCUGGGCGCA
Molecule: transfer RNA, 72 nt
Filed under: Candidatus Beckwithbacteria bacterium
Lineage: Bacteria; Candidatus Beckwithiibacteriota
Description: tRNA-Arg
Rfam family: tRNA
About the family: Transfer RNA (tRNA) molecules are approximately 80 nucleotides in length. Their secondary structure includes four short double-helical elements and three loops (D, anti-codon, and T loops). Further hydrogen bonds mediate the characteristic L-shaped molecular structure. tRNAs have two regions of fundamental functional importance: the anti-codon, which is responsible for specific mRNA codon recognition, and the 3' end, to which the tRNAs corresponding amino acid is attached (by aminoacyl-tRNA synthetases). tRNAs cope with the degeneracy of the genetic code in two manners: having more than one tRNA (with a specific anti-codon) for a particular amino acid; and 'wobble' base-pairing, i.e. permitting non-standard base-pairing at the 3rd anti-codon position.
Source: RNAcentral